GGUAAGAUGGCUGAGCGUGAAGCGGUGGAUUGUAGCCCCAUGUACAGAGGUUCAAGUCCUCUUCUUAUCA
This 70-nucleotide transfer RNA is filed under the name Oreochromis variabilis (variable tilapia). RNAcentral describes it as "tRNA-Tyr". It matches the Rfam family "tRNA". Rfam says of the family: Transfer RNA (tRNA) molecules are approximately 80 nucleotides in length. Their secondary structure includes four short double-helical elements and three loops (D, anti-codon, and T loops). The record is from RNAcentral. Lineage: Eukaryota; Metazoa; Chordata; Actinopteri; Cichliformes; Cichlidae.